RNAcentral lists this ribosomal RNA (467 nucleotides) under uncultured bacterium. RNAcentral's name for it is "partial 16S ribosomal RNA". It matches the Rfam family "Bacterial small subunit ribosomal RNA", at positions 29 to 507 of the family's 1533-position model. The record is from RNAcentral.
ACGCACGCUGGCGGCGUGCUUAACACCUUCAAGUCGAACGGAAAGGCCCUGCUUUUGUGGGGUGCUCGAGUGGCGAACGGGUGAGUAACACGUGAGUAACCUGCCCUUGACUUUGGGAUAACUUCAGGAAACUGGGGCUAAUACCGGAUAGGAGCUCCUGCUGCCUGGUGGGGGUUGGAAAGUUUCGGCGGUUGGGGAUGGACUCGCGGCUUAUCAGCUUGUUGGUGGGGUAGUGGCUUACCAAGGCUUUGACGGGUAGCCGGCCUGAGAGGGUGACCGGCCACAUUGGGACUGAGAUACGGCCCAGACUCCUACGGGAGGCAGCAGUGGGGAAUAUUGCACAAUGGGCGAAAGCCUGAUGCAGCAACGCCGCGUGCGGGAUGACGGCCUUCGGGUUGUAAACCGCUUUCGCCUGUGACGAAGCGUGAGUGACGGUAACGGGUAAAGAAGCACCGGCUAACUACGUG